GUGUAUUAACUGAAAGAUGAAACAAGUAACCUUUUUCUCCUUAUCCGUUUCCUAAUCGUUUGGUCUACCACCUUGGCUAUUUCACUAGCCCUGCACGAGCUCCAAAAGUCCCAAAGAGCCAAAACUCCCCAUACUCCAUAAGCUGCAGGAUCAUCACGAAAAUCAUUAAUCCCCACAUUACCUCAGUCUCUAGACUCUCCUGACUUUGUCUCUAACGCCACUUGCAAAGCAUCUAAUUAGAUUAUACAAUAGUACGUAGUUAUUAGAAUUUAAAAUACAUUAAUGCAUAUGAGUUGAUUUAUAGUUACC
This 309-nucleotide long non-coding RNA is filed under the name Vigna radiata. RNAcentral's name for it is "long non-coding RNA (VRAD_LNC001495)". Lineage: Eukaryota; Viridiplantae; Streptophyta; Magnoliopsida; Fabales; Fabaceae. The record is from RNAcentral.